RNAcentral lists this RNase P RNA (372 nucleotides) under Gammaproteobacteria bacterium. RNAcentral describes it as "RNase P RNA component class A". It matches the Rfam family "Bacterial RNase P class A". From Rfam's summary of the family: Ribonuclease P (RNase P) is a ubiquitous endoribonuclease, found in archaea, bacteria and eukarya as well as chloroplasts and mitochondria. Its best characterised activity is the generation of mature 5'-ends of tRNAs by cleaving the 5'-leader elements of precursor-tRNAs. Lineage: Bacteria; Pseudomonadati; Pseudomonadota; Gammaproteobacteria. The record is from RNAcentral.
AGAGUCGGCUAGGCAAUCGCCUUUGAAUUUAUUCAUGGGAGGAAAGUCCGGGCUCCAUAGGGCAUAGUGCCAGGUAACUCCUGGGGGGCGCGAGCCUACGGAAAGUGCAGCAGAAAAUAUACCGCCUAAGUUCAGCGGACUCUCCUUUGGGGGAUAUGUUGGAACGGUAAGGUUGAAAUGGUGCGGUAAGAGCGCACCGCGCGCGUGGUAACACGUCGUGGCAUGGUAAACCCCGCUUGGAGCAAGACCAAAUAGAGACCUUAUAGUGCUGCCCGCAUUGGGUCUGGGUAGGUUGCUCGAGGUAUGCAGUGAUGCAUACCCUAGAUGAAUGAUUGUUCUCGACAGAACCCGGCUUAUCGGCCGGCUCUGCUC